UAAAACCGCCAGGGAAUUACAAGCCCCCGCUUAAAACCCAAGGGACUUGACGGUGUCCCACCCACCUAGAGGAGCCUGUUCUAUAAUCGACACCCCACGAUACACCUCACCACCCCUAGCACAAUCAGUCUGUAUACCUCCGUCGCAAGCUUACCAUGUGAACGCCACAAGUGAGCUAAAAGAUUCUUCCCACCAACACGUCAGGUCAAGGUGCAACUAACGGAAUGGAAAGCAAUGGGCUACAAUUUCUACCAUAGAACAUACAAAAACUGCAUGAAACUCAGCUACUAAGGCGGAUUUAGAAGUAAGAAGAAAACAGAGAGUUCUUUUUAACUUGGCCCUGGGACGCGU
This 351-nucleotide ribosomal RNA is filed under the name Stumpffia sp. MRSN A2583. RNAcentral's name for it is "partial 12S ribosomal RNA". It matches the Rfam family "Bacterial small subunit ribosomal RNA", at positions 864 to 1384 of the family's 1533-position model. Lineage: Eukaryota; Metazoa; Chordata; Amphibia; Anura; Microhylidae. The record is from RNAcentral.